RNAcentral lists this ribosomal RNA (480 nucleotides) under uncultured bacterium. RNAcentral's name for it is "partial 16S ribosomal RNA". It matches the Rfam family "Bacterial small subunit ribosomal RNA", at positions 30 to 506 of the family's 1533-position model. The record is from RNAcentral.
AUUGAACGCUGGCGGCAUGCUUUACACAUGCAAGUCGAACGGUAACAGGCCGCAAGGUGCUGACGAGUGCGAACGGGUGAGUAAUGCAUCGGAACGUGCCCAGUCGUGGGGGAUAACUACUCGAAAGAGUAGCUAAUACCGCAUACGAUCUAUGGAUGAAAGCGGGGGACCGUAAGGCCUCGCGCGAUUGGAGCGGCCGAUGUCAGAUUAGGUAGUUGGUGGGGUAAAGGCUCACCAAGCCAACGAUCUGUAGCUGGUCUGAGAGGACGACCAGCCACACUGGGACUGAGACACGGCCCAGACUCCUACGGGAGGCAGCAGUGGGGAAUUUUGGACAGUGGGCGCAAGCCUGAUCCAGCAAUGCCGCGUGCAGGAAGAAGGCCUUCGGGUUGUAAACUGCUUUUGUACGGAACGAAACGGCUCUGGUUAAUACCCGGGGCUAAUGACGGUACCGUAAGAAUAAGCACCGGCUAACUACGU